GACUGGCAGCCAGGGCGGGUUUUUGUAGAGGGGGGCAAGCUGGAGCUGGCACUGUGGCUCACGUUCGGUGGCGGGACCAAGUUGGAGAUGAAACGGGACGUGGCUAGACCAAGUGUCUCUAUCUUCCCACCGUCUUCGGAGCAGUUGCAGUCCGGAGGGGCCACGGUUGUGUGCUUUGUGAAUGACUUCUACCCCAGAGACAUCAACGUGAAGUGGAAGGUGGACAACGCCUAUUACAACAGCAAUAUCCAGAACAGCUUCACAGAGCAGAACUCCAAGGACAGCACGUACAGCCUCAGCAGCACCCUGUCGCUGACCAGCUCAGAGUACAACAAUCACAAGAGCUAUACCUGCGAGGUCAGCCACAGCAGCCUGUCCUCGCCCAUCACCAAGACGGUCAAAAGGAACGAGUGCUAGAGUCAGAGGCCGCGCCCUCCCGCCGCAGGCCUGGGCCCUCUCCUCACGAGGGACCCACCCCAGUUGCAGUCCUCCUCCCCCUCCCCACCUCACCCCUCCUCCUCCUUGGCUUGAAUCAGCUGGUAAUGGGGGAACAACAAAUAAAAUCAAUCUUUGCACCUGA
Molecule: non-coding RNA, 580 nt
Organism: Marmota flaviventris (yellow-bellied marmot)
Lineage: Eukaryota; Metazoa; Chordata; Mammalia; Rodentia; Sciuridae
Source: the annotation of a RefSeq genome assembly